Molecule: ribosomal RNA, 253 nt
Filed under: uncultured bacterium
Lineage: Bacteria
Description: partial 16S ribosomal RNA
Rfam family: Bacterial small subunit ribosomal RNA
Source: RNAcentral
UACAGAGGGUGCGAGCGUUAAUCGGAAUUACUGGGCGUAAAGCGCGCGUAGGCGGCUUUGCAAGUCGGGUGUGAAAUCCCCAGGCUUAACCUGGGAACUGCAUUCGAGACUGCAUUGCUAGAGUAUGGGAGAGGGAAGUGGAAUUUCCGGUGUAGCGGUGAAAUGCGUAGAUAUCGGAAGGAACAUCAGUGGCGAAAGCGACUUCCUGGACCAAUACUGACGCUCAUGUGCGAAAGCGUAGGGAGCAAACAGG